RNAcentral lists this ribosomal RNA (499 nucleotides) under uncultured Lotharella. RNAcentral's name for it is "SSU rRNA". It matches the Rfam family "Eukaryotic small subunit ribosomal RNA", at positions 53 to 565 of the family's 1831-position model. The record is from RNAcentral. Lineage: Eukaryota; Cercozoa; Chlorarachniophyceae.
GCAUGUCUAGUAUAAACAACUUUAUACUGGUGAAACUGCAGAUGGCUCAUUAAAUCAGAAAUAAUUUAUUUGAUGGUGAAAAACUACAUGGAUACCCGUAGUAAUUCUAGAGCUAAUACAUGCGUAAACACCUUUUGGUGGUAUUUAUUAGAUCCGAACCAGCCCCUUUUGGGACUUUUGGUGAAUCAUGAUAACUGUUCGAAUGCUCAGGCUCUGCCAGGGCAUAGUUCAUUCAAAUUUCUGCCCUAUCAGCUAUUGACGGUAGUGUAGUGGACUACCGUGGCUUUAACGGGUGACGGGGAAUUAGGGUUCGAUUCCGGAGAGGGAGCCUGAGAAACGGCUACCACAUCCAAGGAAGGCAGCAGGCGCGCAAAUUACCCAAUCCCGACACGGGGAGGUAGUGACAAGAAAUAUGGUGACUGUGCCCUUUGUGGCAGAGUCUUCCAAAUGAUAGUAACGUAAAUGCCUAUUAGAGUAUCCAUUGGAGGGCAAGUCUGGU